Molecule: ribosomal RNA, 403 nt
Filed under: Verrucomicrobiota bacterium
Lineage: Bacteria; Pseudomonadati; Verrucomicrobiota
Description: Verrucomicrobia bacterium partial 16S ribosomal RNA
Rfam family: Bacterial small subunit ribosomal RNA
Source: RNAcentral
UGGGGAAUAUUGCACAAUGGGCGCAAGCCUGAUGCAGCAACGCCGCGUGAACGAUGAAGGUCUUCGGAUCGUAAAGUUCUGUUGCAGGGGAAGAUAAUGACGGUACCCUGUGAGGAAGCCCCGGCUAACUACGUGCCAGCAGCCGCGGUAAUACGUAGGGGGCUAGCGUUAUCCGGAUUUACUGGGCGUAAAGGGUGCGUAGGUGGUUUUUCAAGUCGGUGGUUAAAGGCUACGGCUCAACCGUAGUUAGCCUCCGAAACUGUAAGACUUGAGUGCAGGAGAGGAAAGUGGAAUUCCCAGUGUAGCGGUGAAAUGCGUAGAUAUUAGGAGGAACACCAGUAGCGAAGGCGGCUUUCUGAACUGCAACUGACACUGAGGCGCGAAAGCGUGGGGAGCAAACAGG